This 171-nucleotide ribosomal RNA is filed under the name uncultured bacterium. RNAcentral's name for it is "partial 16S ribosomal RNA". The record is from RNAcentral.
CACGCCCUAAACGAUGUCAACUGGUUGUUGGGAGGGUUUCUUCUCAGUAACGUAGCUAACGCGUGAAGUUGACCGCCUGGGGAGUNACGCGAAAAACCUUACCUACCCUUGACAUGUCUGGAAUCCUGAAGAGAUUUGGGAGUGCUCGAAAGAGAGCCAGAACACAGGUGC